CUAUGUAUCUUUAUACAGGUAUCUGUACAUCUAUAAAGAAAUAUGUAUAUAGAAAAUAUCAUGGCACCUUUCUACCCCUCCAUGAGGGAGGAGCCUUGUUUGCUGUUGUAAACUCUAGGGCCUAGACCAGGGCCUGGCAAUGCCACUGGGCAAAAUAAAUGUCAAUGAACACUUACUGCAUGCAACUCCAUUUUAAUGGGAAUGGAAGGACAUGCCAGCUAGUGUUGAAGGAAGAAGAGAGAAAAAAUCCUGGAUGAACUGAACCUGUUUCACCAUUUCGCCUGGGGCAGCCUUGUGUGAGUUUUGUAGAACUGGAAGUGAUAAAACUGUGUUACCAAUACCUGGUGAGUAGGCAUCUAAUAUAUGCAACCCUUUUAUCUGCCUGGGCUGCUCUGCUUCCUGAAGAUGGGGUGGCUGAGAAGCCAACCUGUGUGUACAAGGAGAAGCCAACAUACUAGAAUGCUGUUGUGUUUAAUCCAAAGUGAUACCAAGACAAGAUCCUAAGGUGAUUCAGAAUCUAAAAAUGUAUUCUGCCAACAGACUGGGUGGCAGGCUCCCAGGAAAUUUGGCUAUGCUUGAAAAGAAUCUGCAUGAGGAACACUGGGCUCUACCCUCAACACACACUCUGAUGAGCUUCCCUCUCCAGACAUGCGGUGCCAGUGACUUCUGACUGCCAAGACAUCAGCCUGCAUACUCUGCUCUGCCUCCUUCCCCAUCUCCGCAGGAUGAGAAAAUGGAGGUGUUGAUUCGCCAGGCAACAUGGAAUCACAUGACAGAAACUCUGGUUUUGGCAGUGUGGGAAGGAGGGAAUGGAGGCAGGGAAUGGAGAAGAGAUUCUUGGAAUAGUUCAGGCAGGGAGUCAGAGAGUCUAGACUAGGCUGCUGCAGCAAGAAUAAAGUAGAAUGACUGUUCCCAACAUCUCCUAAGGUUACACAUAGCUGUUGCAGGAGAACAGAAGGCUAGAACUGUGCCUGAAGAGAGAAGGAUCCAAGAAGAAAUGGAGCCCCAAGCAAAGAAGGGAUUUUCUAUCACUGAAGACUCCAUUAUACUUGAAGCUAAUAUGCCCUCAAGUGUGUUUAGGCUCUCUUCGGCAAUGUAGUGUAUUGAGUGCUAAAUUGCAUCAGUGUAUUGCUUCUGCCUUAUGGCACUGGUGAAGAAACCAGGAGCCCAUUUCCCAGAAUUAUUUAAUCUGGUCUUGAGUUACCAUACCAGGCCUGCAUCUAAAUAAGAUCUAAAUAAGAAUUUGUAUCUACAAAUGUUGUUGUUGCUUUUUAAAUAAUAGUCACAAUGUUUAUUGAAGGAGAAACAUAGGCAAUCCAUACAAAGAUCCAUAUACCAAAAUUACCUAUAAACUCACAACCAAAAAGUCACUUUUAACACUUUAUUGUCCCCUUUCAGUGUUGUCUUAAUGUGCGUGUGUGUGUUUUAUUUUUUUGUAUGUGCAUUCUUUUUUCUUCAAAUAAUAAUCUUUUAACCCUGACUCUCUUUUUG
Manis pentadactyla (Chinese pangolin) is the source of this 1491-nucleotide long non-coding RNA. RefSeq lists it as uncharacterized. Lineage: Eukaryota; Metazoa; Chordata; Mammalia; Pholidota; Manidae. The record is from RefSeq and is a predicted model, not a curated record. The transcript is spliced from 3 exons.